UACGAAGGGGGCUAGCGUUGUUCGGAAUUACUGGGCGUAAAGCGCGCGCAGGCGGUUCUCCAAGUCAGGGGUGAAAGCCCGGAGCUCAACUCCGGAACUGCCAUUGAAACUGUUGAACUUGAGGACGAGAGAGGUGAGUGGAAUUCCCAGUGUAGAGGUGAAAUUCGUAGAUAUUGGGAAGAACACCGGUGGCGAAGGCGGCUCACUGGCUCGUAUCUGACGCUCAGGCGCGAUAGCGUGGGGAUCAAACAGG
RNAcentral lists this ribosomal RNA (253 nucleotides) under uncultured bacterium. RNAcentral describes it as "partial 16S ribosomal RNA". It matches the Rfam family "Bacterial small subunit ribosomal RNA", at positions 524 to 776 of the family's 1533-position model. The record is from RNAcentral.